RNAcentral lists this ribosomal RNA (450 nucleotides) under uncultured bacterium. Its description in RNAcentral is "bacterial SSU rRNA". It matches the Rfam family "Bacterial small subunit ribosomal RNA", at positions 354 to 796 of the family's 1533-position model. The record is from RNAcentral.
GUAGGGAAUAUUGGACAAUGGGCGAAAGCCUGAUCCAGCAACGCCGCGUGGAUGACGAAGCAUCUUGGUGUGUAAAAUCCUGUCAGUGGGGACGAAACGUAGAGGUAGGAAAUGACCUCUGCUUGACUGUACCCGCAGAGGAAGUUCCGGCCAACUCCGUGCCAGCAGCCGCGGUAAUACGGGGGGAACGAGCGUUGUUCGGAUUUACUGGGCGUAAAGGGCACGCAGGUGGGAAAAUAAGUCAGAUGUGAAACCCCAAAGCUUAACUCUGGGACUGCAUUUGAUACUGUUUUUCUUGAGUACGAGAGAGGAUGGCAGAAUUCUUGGUGUAGCGGUGAAAUGCGUAGAUAUCAAGAAGAAUACCGGUGGCGAAGGCGGCCAUCUGGCUCGAUACUGACGCUCAGGUGCGAAGGUCGGGGGAGCAAACAGGAUUAGAAACCCUAGUAGUCC